UACGUAGGUGGCAAGCGUUGUUCGGAAUUACUGGGCGUAAAGGGCGCGUAGGCGGUCCUUCAAGUCAGGCGUGAAAGCCCCGGGCUCAACCUGGGAACCGCGCUUGAGACUGGCGGGCUAGAGUUCGGGAGAGGAUGGUGGAAUUCCCAGUGUAGAGGUGAAAUUCGUAGAUAUUGGGAAGAACACCGAUGGCGAAGGCAGCCAUCUGGACCGACACUGACGCUGAGGCGCGAAAGCGUGGGGAGCAAACAGG
This 253-nucleotide ribosomal RNA is filed under the name uncultured bacterium. RNAcentral's name for it is "partial 16S ribosomal RNA". It matches the Rfam family "Bacterial small subunit ribosomal RNA", at positions 524 to 776 of the family's 1533-position model. The record is from RNAcentral.